Molecule: transfer RNA, 60 nt
Filed under: Zootermopsis nevadensis
Lineage: Eukaryota; Metazoa; Arthropoda; Insecta; Blattodea; Termopsidae
Rfam family: tRNA
About the family: Transfer RNA (tRNA) molecules are approximately 80 nucleotides in length. Their secondary structure includes four short double-helical elements and three loops (D, anti-codon, and T loops).
Source: Rfam by way of RNAcentral
GUGGUCCACUGGUUAGAACGCUGGCCUUGUAAUCCUGGGGGUCCGGGUUCGAUUCCCGGC